RNAcentral lists this long non-coding RNA (737 nucleotides) under Heterocephalus glaber (naked mole-rat). RNAcentral's name for it is "lncRNA (ENSHGLG00000048813.1)". The record is from RNAcentral. Lineage: Eukaryota; Metazoa; Chordata; Mammalia; Rodentia; Bathyergidae.
AGACAGUAUCUGUGAAUGGAAGGUUAAGGCACAGCCAUCCAUCUUCUGACGCCCAGGAAGGUGGCUACACGUUUCGCUGCCAUACUGCACUUCCCUGAUUCCACUUCACAGAGCAGCCUCACCCCAGCAGAGAAUGAAUUAUCAAGUGUGCAGGACCAGUGAUGCAGGUGGUAACAAGAAUUUACCCAGGCCAGGAAAAGAGUAAAGAUAAGGGUUUACUCAGCCCAGAGUCCACUGCCUAGGGGGGCACCAGGUGAGUUUCCAAGAGAGGAAUCCCACCAGACAAGAGCCGGUCAACGCAGUUCCCCAGCUCAUCUAGGAGGGAGCUCUCUGAUUGCACCUUACUGGUGAGAGUAACGGCCUCAUCCAUGCUGAUAAUGCUGCAGGAAUAGGGAAGCCUCUGAAAGAUCAGCAAGGCCUUACUCACUACCCAGAAGCCACAAGACCACACCUGCAUAGAAAGUGACCAGUGUAUCUGCAGAUACUCAGGACUUUCUUGAGCCAGCAUGGAAAGCCCCAUUUUCCAGGAACUCUCUUUCCUAGGAAAACUGAAACAGUUGGUCACCCAAGAGCCAGAGCUGUCUUGACCAUAAGCAAGGCAGGUGGGAGUUGAAACAAAGAACAGAAGCCUCAGAAAAAGUCACAUUUUGAUUCCAAUUCUCCUUCGGCAUGACCAUCUGGGACAUGUGACGUAAUCUCUCAGAGAGAUCAUUCUCUCUAAAACAUUACAAUAAUUG